RNAcentral lists this ribosomal RNA (502 nucleotides) under uncultured bacterium. RNAcentral describes it as "bacterial SSU rRNA". It matches the Rfam family "Bacterial small subunit ribosomal RNA", at positions 1 to 507 of the family's 1533-position model. The record is from RNAcentral.
ACGAGUUUGAUCAUGGCUCAGGAUGAACGCUAGCGGCAGGCCUAACACAUGCAAGUCGAGGGGCAGCACGUCUUCGGAUGGUGGCGACCGGCGCACGGGUGCGUAACGCGUAUGCAACCUACCUCUUACAGUGGGAUAGCCCAGAGAAAUUUGGAUUAAUACCGCAUAGUAUACAGAUUCAGCAUCGGGACUGUAUUAAACAUUUAUGGGUAAGAGAUGGGCAUGCGUUCUAUUAGUUAGUUGGAGUGGUAACGGCACCCCCAAGACAGCGAUAGAUAGGGGCCCUGAGAGGGGGAUCCCCCACACUGGUACUGAGACACGGACCAGACUCCUACGGGAGGCAGCAGUGAGGAAUAUUGGACAAUGGGCGAGAGCCUGAUCCAGCCAUGCCGCGUGCAGGAAGACGGCCCUAUGGGUUGUAAACUGCUUUUGUACGGGAAGAAACACCCCCUCGUGAGGGGGCUUGACGGUACCGUAAGAAUAAGGAUCGGCUAACUCCGUG